RNAcentral lists this transfer RNA (74 nucleotides) under Staphylococcus epidermidis. RNAcentral's name for it is "tRNA-Pro". It matches the Rfam family "tRNA". From Rfam's summary of the family: Transfer RNA (tRNA) molecules are approximately 80 nucleotides in length. Their secondary structure includes four short double-helical elements and three loops (D, anti-codon, and T loops). Lineage: Bacteria; Bacillati; Bacillota; Bacilli; Caryophanales; Staphylococcaceae. The record is from RNAcentral.
CGGGAAGUAGCUCAGCUUGGUAGAGCACUUGGUUUGGGACCAAGGGGUCGCAGGGUCGAAUCCUGUCUUCCCGA